CUACGGGGUGCAGCAGCAGGGAAUAUUGCACAAUGGACGGAAGUCUGAUGCAGCGACGCCGCGUGGAUGAUGAAGGCCCUCGGGUUGUAAAAUCCUUUUCAGGGGGACGAGGAAGGACGGUACCCUUGGAAUAAGCGUGGGCUAACUACGUGCCAGCAGCCGCGGUAAGACGUAGGACGCAAGCGUUAGCCGGAUUUACUGGGCGUAAAGCGUCUGUAGGCGGAAUGGUAAGUUGGACGUGAAAGCUCCGGGCUCAACUCGGAGAGGUCGUUCAAUACUGCCAAACUAGAGGGCAUCAGAGGAGCGUGGAAUUUCCGGUGUAGCGGUAAAAUGCGCAGAUAUCGGAAGGAACACCAAUGGCGAAGGCAGCGCUCUGGGAUGAACCUGACGCUAAGAGACGAAAGCUAGGGGAGCGAACAGGAUUAGAUACCCGGGUAGUC
This 440-nucleotide ribosomal RNA is filed under the name uncultured bacterium. RNAcentral describes it as "partial 16S ribosomal RNA". It matches the Rfam family "Bacterial small subunit ribosomal RNA", at positions 339 to 795 of the family's 1533-position model. The record is from RNAcentral.